RNAcentral lists this ribosomal RNA (421 nucleotides) under uncultured bacterium. RNAcentral's name for it is "bacterial SSU rRNA". It matches the Rfam family "Bacterial small subunit ribosomal RNA", at positions 355 to 774 of the family's 1533-position model. The record is from RNAcentral.
UAAGGAAUAUUGGUCAAUGGACGCAAGUCUGAACCAGCCAUGCCGCGUGAAGGAUGAAGGUCCUCUGGAUUGUAAACUUCUUUUAUCUGGGACGAAAACGGGAUUUUUAUCUCAAUUGACGGUACCAGAGGAAUAAGCACCGGCUAACUCCGUGCCAGCAGCCGCGGUAAUACGGAGGGUGCGAGCGUUAUCCGGAUUUACUGGGUUUAAAGGGUGCGUAGGUGGGCAGAUAAGUCAGUGGUGAAAUCUUCCGGCUUAACCGGGAAACUGCCGUUGAUACUAUUUGUCUUGAAUAUUGCGGAGGUAAGCGGAAUAUGUCAUGUAGCGGUGAAAUGCUUAGAUAUGACAUAGAACACCAAUUGCGAAGGCAGCUUACUACACAAUCAUUGACACUGAGGCACAAAAGCGUGGGUAGCGAACA